GGGGCCAUAGCUCAGUUGGGAGAGCGCUACAAUGGCAUUGUAGAGGUCAGGGGUUCGACUCCCCUUGGCUCCA
Molecule: transfer RNA, 73 nt
Filed under: Nitratireductor basaltis
Lineage: Bacteria; Pseudomonadati; Pseudomonadota; Alphaproteobacteria; Hyphomicrobiales; Phyllobacteriaceae
Also listed under: 5 other names
Rfam family: tRNA
About the family: Transfer RNA (tRNA) molecules are approximately 80 nucleotides in length. Their secondary structure includes four short double-helical elements and three loops (D, anti-codon, and T loops).
Source: Rfam by way of RNAcentral